RNAcentral lists this long non-coding RNA (233 nucleotides) under Phascolarctos cinereus (koala). RNAcentral describes it as "lncRNA (ENSPCIG00000037398.1)". Lineage: Eukaryota; Metazoa; Chordata; Mammalia; Diprotodontia; Phascolarctidae. The record is from RNAcentral.
CCUCCCCCCGACUCGGGAACGCGAGCGCGAGCUCGGUAGAUGCUACGUUAGUUCAGUCACGCAGCACUGCAGGUCUCGCCAAUGGCCGCUGCGCCUGCGCGUCUCGUCAAGCGGCUGCCCGGAAGGCGGGGAAUCUGAGGGGCUGGGGUUUUUCCAUUGCCACAAUGAAUAACUGCUAGAUCCCUCGGCCUCUGUUCUCUGAGCCCAGCGGAGGAAGCACCAUUCCAGAAACU